This 308-nucleotide ribosomal RNA is filed under the name uncultured eukaryote. RNAcentral describes it as "partial 18S ribosomal RNA". It matches the Rfam family "Eukaryotic small subunit ribosomal RNA", at positions 1470 to 1796 of the family's 1831-position model. The record is from RNAcentral.
CCCUUAGAUGUCCUGGGCCGCACGCGCGCUACACUGACAUGUUCAACAAGUUUCUCCUAGUUCGACAGGACUGGGAAAUCUUUGAACGCAUGUCGUGAUAGGGAUAGAUCAUUGCAAUUAUUGAUCUUGAACGAGGAAUUCCUAGUAAACGCGAGUCAUCAGCUCGCAUUGAUUACGUCCCUGCCCUUUGUACACACCGCCCGUCGCACCUACCGAUUGAAUGGUUUAGUGAGGCCUUCGGAUCCGCGACUCGUUUUGUGGAGAAGUUGGACAAACUCAGUCAUUUAGAGGAAGUAAAAGUCGUAACA